This 910-nucleotide ribosomal RNA is filed under the name uncultured bacterium. Its description in RNAcentral is "bacterial SSU rRNA". It matches the Rfam family "Bacterial small subunit ribosomal RNA", at positions 33 to 934 of the family's 1533-position model. The record is from RNAcentral.
ACGCUAGCUACAGGCUUAACACAUGCAAGUCGAGGGGAAACGGCAUUGAGUGCUUGCACUCUUUGGACGUCGACCGGCGCACGGGUGAGUAACGCGUAUUCAACCUUCCCAUUACUGUGGGAUAACCUGCCGAAAGGCAGACUAAUACCGCAUAGUCUUCGUUGAUGGCAUCAGAUAUGAAGUAAAGAUUUAUCGGUGAUGGAUGGGGAUGCGUCUGAUUAGCUUGUUGGCGGGGUAACAGCCCACCAAGGCAACGAUCAGUAGGGGUUCUGAGAGGAAGGUCCCCCACAUUGGAACUGAGACACGGUCCAAACUCCUACGGGAGGCAGCAGUGAGGAAUAUUGGUCAAUGGACGGAAGUCUGAACCAGCCAAGUAGCGUGCAGGAUGACGGCCCUAUGGGUUGUAAACUGCUUUUGUAUGGGGAUAAAGUUAGGGACGUGUCCCUAUUUGCAGGUACCAUACGAAUAAGGACCGGCUAAUUCCGUGCCAGCAGCCGCGGUAAUACGGAAGGUCCAGGCGUUAUCCGGAUUUAUUGGGUUUAAAGGGAGCGUAGGCUGGAGAUUAAGUGUGUUGUGAAAUGUAGACGCUCAACGUCUGAAUUGCAGCGCAUACUGGUUUCCUUGAGUACGCACAACGUUGGCGGAAUUCGUCGUGUAGCGGUGAAAUGCUUAGAUAUGACGAAGAACUCCGAUUGCGAAGGCAGCUGACGGGAGCGCAACUGACGCUUAAGCUCGAAGGUGCGGGUAUCGAACAGGAUUAGAUACCCUGGUAGUCCGCACAGUAAACGAUGGAUGCCCGCUGUUGGUACCUGGUAUCAGCGGCUAAGCGAAAGCAUUAAGCAUCCCACCUGGGGAGUACGCCGGCAACGGUGAAACUCAAAGGAAUUGACGGGGGCCCGCACAAGCGGAG